This 220-nucleotide long non-coding RNA is filed under the name Lathyrus oleraceus (garden pea). Its description in RNAcentral is "Pisum sativum (pea) long non-coding RNA (PSAT_LNC016873)". The record is from RNAcentral. Lineage: Eukaryota; Viridiplantae; Streptophyta; Magnoliopsida; Fabales; Fabaceae.
AAAAAUAAAAAUAAAAUAAAAAUUAUUGUAUAAAAAUAAAAAUAAAAAUCCUUAAAUAAAAAGCUAAAUAUCUUAUUUAUCUUUAUAAUCUAUAACAAUAUAUAAAUAGAAUAUUUUCUUGUGGUGUAGUCUAUUUUUUUAAACCAUUUUUACCCUUAUUUUAUUGUGUAAUUUACCUAAUAACUUUCAAUAAAACCACUAUUAUUAACUUCCACGUAAC